UCCCUAGAGCUUCGAGCUCUCUAAAGGGUUGUCGUAGACUACGACGUUGAUAGGCAGGGUGUGUAAGCGCUGUGAGGCGUUGAGCUAACCUGUACUAAUUGCCCGUGCGGCUUAACCAUACAACACCCAAG
RNAcentral lists this ribosomal RNA (131 nucleotides) under Salinivibrio sp. IB643. RNAcentral describes it as "partial 23S ribosomal RNA". It matches the Rfam family "Bacterial large subunit ribosomal RNA", at positions 2811 to 2925 of the family's 2925-position model. Lineage: Bacteria; Pseudomonadati; Pseudomonadota; Gammaproteobacteria; Vibrionales; Vibrionaceae. The record is from RNAcentral.